UACGAAGGGGGCUAGCGUUGCUCGGAAUCACUGGGCGUAAAGCGCACGUAGGCGGCCUCGCAAGUCUGAUGUGAAAUCCCUCGGCUCAACCGAGGACGUGCAUCGGAAACUGCGGGGCUUGAGUACUGAAGAGGAUCGCGGAAUUCCCGGUGUAGAGGUGAAAUUCGUAGAUAUCGGGAGGAACACCAGUGGCGAAGGCGGCGAUCUGGGCAGAUACUGACGCUGAGGUGCGAAAGCGUGGGGAGCAAACAGG
RNAcentral lists this ribosomal RNA (253 nucleotides) under uncultured bacterium. Its description in RNAcentral is "partial 16S ribosomal RNA". It matches the Rfam family "Bacterial small subunit ribosomal RNA", at positions 524 to 776 of the family's 1533-position model. The record is from RNAcentral.